RNAcentral lists this ribosomal RNA (766 nucleotides) under Talaromyces sp. Its description in RNAcentral is "partial large subunit ribosomal RNA". It matches the Rfam family "Eukaryotic large subunit ribosomal RNA", at positions 114 to 897 of the family's 3401-position model. The record is from RNAcentral. Lineage: Eukaryota; Fungi; Ascomycota; Eurotiomycetes; Eurotiales; Trichocomaceae.
UNNGAAAUCUGGCCCCCUUGGGGUCCGACUUGUAAUUUGGAGAGGAUGCUUCGGGUGUGGUCCCCAUCUAAGUGCCCUGGAAUGGGCGGUCAUGGAGGGUGAGAAUCCCGUCUGGGUUGGGUGGCCGCGCCCGUGUGAAGCUCCUUCGAGNAGUCGAGUUGUUUGGGAAUGCAGCUCUAAGCGGGUGGUAUAUUUCAUCUAAAGCUAAAUAUGGGCCGGAGACCGAUAGCGCACAAGUAGAGUGAUCGAAAGAUGAUAAGCACUUUGAAUAGNGAGUUAAACAGCACGUGAAAUUCUUGAAAGGGAAGCGUUGGCCACCAGACGCGACCAGNGGGGUUCUACCGGCACGUGUGCCGGUGCACUGCUCCCUGGAAGCGCCAGCAUCGGUUUGGGCGGCCGCUGAAAGGCCCCNNGAAUGUAGCACUCUUCUGGGAGCCAUAUAGCCCGGGGUGCCAUGCGCCCUGUCUGGACCGAGGCCCGCGCUUCGGCGAGGAUGCUGGCGUAAUGGUGGUCAACGGCCCGUCUUGAAACACGGACCAAGGAGUCUAACAUCUAUGCGAGUGUACGGGUGACAAACCCGUCCGCGCAGUGAAAGCGAACGNCGGUGGGAACCCGUUCCGGGUGCACCAUCGACCGAUCCUGAUGUCCUCGGAUGGANUUGAGUAAGNGCAAAGCUGUUGGGANCCGAAAGAUGGUGAACUAUGCCUGAAUAGGGCGAAGCCAGAGGAAACUCUGGUGGAGGCUCGCAGCGGUUGUGACGUGCAAA